Pseudophryne corroboree (corroboree frog) is the source of this 736-nucleotide long non-coding RNA. RefSeq lists it as uncharacterized. The transcript has 3 exons. NCBI's taxonomy places the organism in Eukaryota, Metazoa, Chordata, Amphibia, Anura, Myobatrachidae. The record is from RefSeq and is a predicted model, not a curated record.
ACCAGGCUGGCACAGGAUUGGAUAGCUCAUGGUCAGGUAAUCAGACCCUGUCACAUCAGUACUCCAGGUUAGACUCUGAUGUGGAGUGAGGCUUAGCUGGCCAAAUAAACACUGGAGCCUGAGCUUCUAAAAAUGAACAGAGGAUGCUGACUUUUAGGCCUAACCUCCAGAUUGCUGAACACAGUGAAGAAUCAAAUGCUGCUCACAGCUGAUUAUUGAUUACUCAGAGGAAUUCCUACUCAGAUGGCUAAUCAAGGCCGCUGUGGGAGGCCGGGGAGAUGUCUCAGCCCGGAGCGUCCGGUUGCCAGGCAACGCUCGACGCUCUCCUGGAUCACCGCCGGCGCCCAGCGGCAUGACGUCAUCGGCCAGCGCCCGUCACGGACGGACUCCAUGCGGGACGCCGCCGCUACCCGGCCUCUCUCAGCGACAGGGGGGUAUUUAGAAAAAGAAGCAUGGCGGAGAUUACAGCACAGUACUUCCGGGAGGCAUAAUCGCUGAGCAGCGGUGGCUAUCUUCUGUGUGGUUGCCAUGAAGGAUGGAGAUGGAGUGUGCUGGGGAGAGAGGCAGCUGCGGCGGUGACCAGUCCUCUUUCCUGUGAUGAAAGGAAGGGGAGCGCAGUCCACAUCCACCAGUUCUGACACCGGGGACUCCCCCAUGCAAUGAAGGAUUCACCAAGAACACAGCACACCAUGCUAUAGGAAACAUUGUAAAACAAAAUAAAUACUCCGGCCAAGGA